This 1450-nucleotide ribosomal RNA is filed under the name Halomonas sp. LAR05P7. Its description in RNAcentral is "16S ribosomal RNA". It matches the Rfam family "Bacterial small subunit ribosomal RNA". The record is from RNAcentral. Lineage: Bacteria; Pseudomonadati; Pseudomonadota; Gammaproteobacteria; Oceanospirillales; Halomonadaceae.
GCCUAACACAUGCAGUCGAGCGGCAGCACGGGAAGCUUGCUUCCUGGUGGCGAGCGGCGGACGGGUGAGUAAUGCAUAGGAAUCUGCCCGGUAGUGGGGGAUAACCUGGGGAAACCCAGGCUAAUACCGCAUACGUCCUACGGGAGAAAGCAGGGGCUCUUCGGACCUUGCGCUAUCGGAUGAGCCUAUGUCGGAUUAGCUGGUUGGUGAGGUAAUGGCUCACCAAGGCGACGAUCCGUAGCUGGUCUGAGAGGAUGAUCAGCCACAUCGGGACUGAGACACGGCCCGAACUCCUACGGGAGGCAGCAGUGGGGAAUAUUGGACAAUGGGCGCAAGCCUGAUCCAGCCAUGCCGCGUGUGUGAAGAAGGCCUUCGGGUUGUAAAGCACUUUCAGUGGGGAAGAAAGCCUGGUGGUUAAUACCCGCCAGGAAGGACAUCACCCACAGAAGAAGCACCGGCUAACUCCGUGCCAGCAGCCGCGGUAAUACGGAGGGUGCGAGCGUUAAUCGGAAUUACUGGGCGUAAAGCGCGCGUAGGUGGCUUGAUAAGCCGGUUGUGAAAGCCCCGGGCUCAACCUGGGAACGGCAUCCGGAACUGUCAGGCUAGAGUGCAGGAGAGGAAGGUAGAAUUCCCGGUGUAGCGGUGAAAUGCGUAGAGAUCGGGAGGAAUACCAGUGGCGAAGGCGGCCUUCUGGACUGACACUGACACUGAGGUGCGAAAGCGUGGGUAGCAAACAGGAUUAGAUACCCUGGUAGUCCACGCCGUAAACGAUGUCGACUAGCCGUUGGGUCCUUCGCGGACUUUGUGGCGCAGUUAACGCGAUAAGUCGACCGCCUGGGGAGUACGGCCGCAAGGUUAAAACUCAAAUGAAUUGACGGGGGCCCGCACAAGCGGUGGAGCAUGUGGUUUAAUUCGAUGCAACGCGAAGAACCUUACCUACCCUUGACAUCCUGCGAACCCUUCGGAGACGAAGGGGUGCCUUCGGGAACGCAGAGACAGGUGCUGCAUGGCUGUCGUCAGCUCGUGUUGUGAAAUGUUGGGUUAAGUCCCGUAACGAGCGCAACCCUUGUCCUUAUUUGCCAGCGAGUAAUGUCGGGAACUCUAAGGAGACUGCCGGUGACAAACCGGAGGAAGGUGGGGACGACGUCAAGUCAUCAUGGCCCUUACGGGUAGGGCUACACACGUGCUACAAUGGUCGGUACAAAGGGUUGCGAACUUGCGAAAGUAAGCUAAUCCCAUAAAGCUGAUCUCAGUCCGGAUCGGAGUCUGCAACUCGACUCCGUGAAGUCGGAAUCGCUAGUAAUCGUGAAUCAGAAUGUCACGGUGAAUACGUUCCCGGGCCUUGUACACACCGCCCGUCACACCAUGGGAGUGGACUGCACCAGAAGUGGUUAGCCUAACCUUCGGGAGGGCGAUCACCCACGGUGUGGUUCAUGACUGGGGGAAGUCG